AACGAACGUUAGCGGCGCGCCUAACACAUGCAAGUCGAGCGAGAAAGGGCUUCGGCCCCGGUAAAGCGGCGCACGGGUGAGUAACACGUGGAUAACCUACCCCUUGGUGGUGGAUAACCUUCCGAAAGGAGGGCUAAUACAGCGUAAGACCACGACUUCGAAAGAGGUUGGGGUAAAAAGUGGGCCUCUGUACACAAGCUCACGCCAGGGGAUGGGUCCGCGGCCCAUCAGCUAGUUGGUAGGGUAACGGCCUACCAAGGCGAAGACGGGUAGCUGGUCUGAGAGGAUGAUCAGCCACACUGGAACUGAGACACGGUCCAGACUCCUACGGGAGGCAGCAGUGGGGAAUCUUGCGCAAUGGACGAAAGUCUGACGCAGCGACGCCGCGUGAGUGAUGAAGGCC
RNAcentral lists this ribosomal RNA (403 nucleotides) under uncultured bacterium. RNAcentral describes it as "bacterial SSU rRNA". It matches the Rfam family "Bacterial small subunit ribosomal RNA", at positions 29 to 416 of the family's 1533-position model. The record is from RNAcentral.